UAAUGCCAGGAUCAAAUGGUUUAAGCCCACAUGAGCUUACUCAUAAGUGGGUAAAAGACCUUGAGACCCGCCCCAAUAUGAGCAAAAAAGUGGGAUAAUUCCCACGAUAUGCGAAUAUUGGGUAGGAUUGUGGGAGUGCGUAGCACUAAACAAUCCGUAGGCUUCA
Molecule: small RNA, 166 nt
Organism: Eubacterium sp. CAG:156
Lineage: Bacteria; Bacillati; Bacillota; Clostridia; Eubacteriales; Eubacteriaceae
Rfam family: Clostridiales-1 RNA
Source: Rfam